UACGGAGGGUGCGAGCGUUAAUCGGAAUUACUGGGCGUAAAGCGCACGUAGGCUGUAUGACAAGUCAAGGGUGAAAUGCCACGGCUCAACCGUGGAACUGCCUUUGAAACUGUCAAACUGGAGUAUGUGAGAGGGCGGCGGAAUUCCUGGUGUAGCGGUGAAAUGCGUAGAUAUUAGGAGGAACACCAGUGGCGAAGGCGGCUUACUGGACAGUAACUGACGUUGAGGCUCGAAAGCGUGGGGAGCAAACAGG
RNAcentral lists this ribosomal RNA (253 nucleotides) under uncultured Desulfovibrionaceae bacterium. RNAcentral describes it as "partial 16S ribosomal RNA". It matches the Rfam family "Bacterial small subunit ribosomal RNA", at positions 524 to 776 of the family's 1533-position model. Lineage: Bacteria; Pseudomonadati; Thermodesulfobacteriota; Desulfovibrionia; Desulfovibrionales; Desulfovibrionaceae. The record is from RNAcentral.